CAUACAAAAAAAAUUCUGAGUCUAAAGUCUCUGGCUGGAGUUUAACUGGCACUUUCCGAGGACGCCGCCUGCCUGGGGGUAGGUCGGUGGGUACCUCACCACAGGCUUUCCUGGGCCAGGCGAGCUGUAGCUUCGCGACGAGACAGGUGCGUUAAAAGGGCCCGAAGGAUCAUUGGGGACCCGAGUCAGCCCAGUCACAAACUGUUCCAGCUGCUAACCGUCCGGGAAAUGGUACCACAGCAUAAAAACCAGGACCUACAGGCUCCGGGACAGCUUCUUCCACCACACAUCACAUUGAUCAACUCAUACUGACACAACUGUAUUUCUAUGUCAUAGUGACUGUCCUGUUGUACAUACUAUUUAUUAUAAAUUACUAUAAAUUGCACAUUUAGAUGGAGACUUAACGUAAACAUUUUUACUCAUGUAUAUGAAGGAUGUAAGUAAUAAAGCCAAUUCAAUUCAAUAA
This is a long non-coding RNA of Hypanus sabinus (Atlantic stingray), 466 nucleotides long. RefSeq lists it as uncharacterized. Lineage: Eukaryota; Metazoa; Chordata; Chondrichthyes; Myliobatiformes; Dasyatidae. The record is from RefSeq and is a predicted model, not a curated record. The transcript has 2 exons.